This 451-nucleotide ribosomal RNA is filed under the name uncultured bacterium. Its description in RNAcentral is "partial 16S ribosomal RNA". It matches the Rfam family "Bacterial small subunit ribosomal RNA", at positions 28 to 523 of the family's 1533-position model. The record is from RNAcentral.
GAUGAACGCUGGCGGCGUGCCUAAUACAUGCAAGUCGAACGAGGUCUUCGGACCUAGUGGCGAACGGGUGAGUAACACGUUGGUACCUACCCCGAAGUGGGGAAUAACUGCCCGGAAGGGUGGCUAAUACCGCAUAAUACCGCGAGGUUAAAGCAGUAAUGCGCUUCGGGAGGGGCCUGCGUCCCAUUAGCUAGUUGGUAGGGUAAUGGCCUACCAAGGCGACGAUGGGUAGCUGGAUCGAGAGGUUGACCAGCCACACUGGGACUGAGAUACGGCCCAGACUCCUACGGGAGGCAGCAGUAAGGAAUCUUCCACAAUGGACGAAAGUCUGAUGGAGCAACGCCGCGUGCAGGAUGACGGCCUUCGGGUUGUAAACUGCUUUUAUACGAGAAGAUUAUGACGGUACCGUAUGAAUAAGGACCGGCUAACUACGUGCCAGCCGCCGCGGUAA